RNAcentral lists this ribosomal RNA (301 nucleotides) under uncultured bacterium. Its description in RNAcentral is "partial 16S ribosomal RNA". It matches the Rfam family "Bacterial small subunit ribosomal RNA", at positions 509 to 807 of the family's 1533-position model. The record is from RNAcentral.
CAGCCGCCACGGUAAUACGAAGGUCCCGAGCGUUGUUCGGAAUCACUGGGCGUAAAGGGAGCGUAGGCGGCGUGGUAAGUCAGAUGUGAAAUCCCGGGGCUCAACCCCGGAACUGCAUCCGAUACUGCCGUGCUAGAGGAUUGGAGAGGUAGCUGGAAUUCUUGGUGUAGCAGUGAAAUGCGUGGAGAUCAAGAGGAACACUCGUGGCGAAAGCGAGCUACUGGACAAUAUCUGACGCUGAGGCUCGAAGGCCAGGGUAGCGAAAGGGAUUAGAUACCCGCGUAGUCCCUGUCUCUUAUAC